Long non-coding RNA from Poecilia latipinna (sailfin molly), 704 nucleotides. RefSeq lists it as uncharacterized. The record is from RefSeq and is a predicted model, not a curated record. NCBI's taxonomy places the organism in Eukaryota, Metazoa, Chordata, Actinopteri, Cyprinodontiformes, Poeciliidae. The transcript is spliced from 2 exons.
UUGCCUUCUUCAGAUAACUUUCAUGCCUAUCUUCACUGAUUACCCCAAUAAAUCACAGACAGUGUCUCUCUACAGACACAGUUAUAGUCAAUCAGAGGUUCAGUAUUUCUCUGGUUCUUCUCGGUGUUUUUGCUCGUCACCCUUUGUUCCAGUUAUCUGCGUGUGAAAGCAGCUCUGCUCUUCCUCUGGAGGUGUGAGUGGUUUCUGCAGGGUGGUCUGCAGAUCUGCAUCUCUGUGUCGAAGGCGACAGCGUGUCUGUUUGAUCUGAAACGUGUCGGCUUGGACUGAUUUAGCUGUGAGACUCUGUGGUCUCAGUGUUUCCCACCUGCUGGUUUUACUGUUUAAGUUUAUAACAGACUAAACAAAGUGUUAAUGGUUAAAACAUUUAUCUGACGGCUGCAGCUCAUACCAUCUCUCUGUGUUUCACAGAGAAUCCUUCAUCUGCCAUCUACUCAGACGUGAGAACCGACGGGAUCAGUUAUGGACAAAUCAACAUCAGAACCAACAGAACCAACAGAACCAGAGAGGUUCAACCAGAUCCAGACAUCAUCUACUCUUCACUGAGGUAGUCCACCAGUCUGACCUCUGACCUCCAGCUGCUGCUUCUCCUCUUUACUUCACAUGUAGUUAUUUUAUUGCUUCAGCCGACCAUCUGACUUUAACACCAUUCCUCUCUGGAUGUUUAAUAAAAUGUUUCUUUCUCA